UCCAAAUAAUUCAAGUCCUGCCAAAAUUUCAAUUUAGCCAAAUGUUUUAUUCCCUUUUCACAAAGAGGAACGCCUUACGACUCGGAAUGAUAUUUCCUCCAGAAUAAACAGAAAUUCGUCGCUAGCAAGCUAGCUGACUAUGUAGAUUCGUGUGGUCUCACACCUGUUUGCAGAAACGCUUCGCCUCCUGUCCCAAACGGCAACAACAAAUGUCAGUGAUCACAUCCUACGCUGAGGAACUGAAAGAAGGGGCUGUCCUACGAAGCGGCAGAUUUCACUGCAGGAGCAGUCCGACACCCACCUGCAUCAACAUUUACCUUGUCUUGGGCCUGGACUACACAGAAAAUAUCACUUCAUAUUUUAGUCUUCAUUUUCCUAACAAUCUCGAGUAUAAAUUCACUCUGUGUGUGUGUGUGUGUGUUUUAUGCACCACCUAAAAUACAGUUUCAUUGGUUGGCUCAUUAUACAUCUCCCAGUUUCUCCAAUAAUGAAUGUACUUGUUUUUGCUGCCUCCUCUUCAUUUGCAUCACCAUGCUGUCCCAAACAGUACUAUUUCAGCGUAUAACAACAAUGCCCCUCACCAAGAGGUCUGUGCUCUUUUUGGGACGUAGCACUUCUCUCAGAUUCCGGACUCAAAAAAGGUGUCCCAUUUUAAUGUGAUGGAUAAACACAGUGUGGUUUUAUAAUAUAUACUGUAAGCUAUUAAGACAUUAAAAUGUGAUGCAUUGGAUGUCGGAUUAAAUUGGUACAUUCUUCAUGCAAAUCGACUGCUAUGCUGGUCCCAUGACCUCUCCUUAAAAUGUAAAUAAAAUCAAUUGGAAAUCAAUAUCCAAGAACUUUCAA
This is a long non-coding RNA of Conger conger (European conger), 843 nucleotides long. RefSeq lists it as uncharacterized. The record is from RefSeq and is a predicted model, not a curated record. The transcript is spliced from 2 exons. Lineage: Eukaryota; Metazoa; Chordata; Actinopteri; Anguilliformes; Congridae.